AGCCCGAUGAACCUGAAUAUCCAUUAUGAAAAAUUCAUCAUUAUAACUAUAAUAUUUUUUUUAAAUAUUAUAUGUAAUAGUGUGCAUUUUUUUCAUAUAAGGACAUUGUGAUCUAUUAAUAUGUAUUUAUCAAAAGAUCAUUUGCUUAAGUUUAUUUUAAUUAAUUUGCUUUAGCAUGUUAACAUAAAAUAAAUGCAAAUGAUUUGAUAAAGUGUUGAUAGAUUUAUUAUAUAUAAUGCGCUAAGAUCUUUUUUUUUUUAAAAAAAAAAAUUGUACAAUAAUAUUAUAAAAUCUUAUGAUUUUUAUAUAUUUUAUUGUAUGCAUUUAUAUGAUUUACAAUGCGAAAGAUUCAGGAUACCUUCGGGACCCGUCUUGAA
Molecule: ribosomal RNA, 377 nt
Filed under: Euphranta camelliae
Lineage: Eukaryota; Metazoa; Arthropoda; Insecta; Diptera; Tephritidae
Description: partial 28S ribosomal RNA
Source: RNAcentral